GACGAACCGUACGAACGUUAUUCGGAAUCAUUGGGCUUAAAGGGUGCGUAGGCGGUGCGGAAAGUUGGGUGUGAAAUCCCUCGGCUCAACCGAGGAAUUGCGCCCAAUACUGCCGUGCUCGAGGGAGACAGAGGUGAGCGGAACUUAGGGUGGAGCGGUGAAAUGCGUUGAUAUCCUAAGGAACACCAGUGGCGAAAGCGGCUCACUGGGUCUCUUCUGACGCUGAGGCACGAAAGCUAGGGGAGCAAACGGG
This 253-nucleotide ribosomal RNA is filed under the name uncultured bacterium. Its description in RNAcentral is "partial 16S ribosomal RNA". It matches the Rfam family "Bacterial small subunit ribosomal RNA", at positions 524 to 776 of the family's 1533-position model. The record is from RNAcentral.